CACGAAGGGGGCUAGCGUUGCUCGGAAUCACUGGGCGUAAAGGGUGCGUAGGCGGGUCUUUAAGUCAGGGGUGAAAUCCUGGAGCUCAACUCCAGAACUGCCUUUGAUACUGGCGAUCUUGAGUCCGGGAGAGGUGAGUGGAACUGCGAGUGUAGAGGUGAAAUUCGUAGAUAUUCGCAAGAACACCAGUGGCGAAGGCGGCUCACUGGCCCGGUACUGACGCUGAGGUGCGAAAGCGUGGGGAGCAAACAGG
RNAcentral lists this ribosomal RNA (253 nucleotides) under uncultured bacterium. RNAcentral's name for it is "partial 16S ribosomal RNA". It matches the Rfam family "Bacterial small subunit ribosomal RNA", at positions 524 to 776 of the family's 1533-position model. The record is from RNAcentral.